RNAcentral lists this ribosomal RNA (301 nucleotides) under uncultured bacterium. Its description in RNAcentral is "partial 16S ribosomal RNA". It matches the Rfam family "Bacterial small subunit ribosomal RNA", at positions 509 to 807 of the family's 1533-position model. The record is from RNAcentral.
CAGCCGCCGCGGGAAUACAGAGGGUGCAAGCGUUAAUCUGAAUUACUGGGCGUAAAGCGCGCGUAGGUGGUUUGUUAAGUUGGAUGUGAAAGCCCCGGGCUCAACCUGGGAACUGCAUCCAAAACUGGCAAGCUAGAGUACGGUAGAGGGUGGUGGAAUUUCCUGUGUAGCGGUGAAAUGCGUAGAUAUAGGAAGGAACACCAGUGGCGAAGGCGACCACCUGGACUGAUACUGACACUGAGGUGCGAAAGCGUGGGGAGCAAACAGGAUUAGAUACCCCCGUAGUCCCUGUCUCUUAUAC